Molecule: long non-coding RNA, 1900 nt
Filed under: Marmota monax (woodchuck)
Lineage: Eukaryota; Metazoa; Chordata; Mammalia; Rodentia; Sciuridae
Source: RNAcentral
CUGGAAAUACGACUUUGGACAAGUCCCUGACUCUCCUGAGCCUUGAUUACUUCACUUCAAAAAUUGGCUGAAAUGAUAUCUAGUAUUAAAAAAAAAAGCAACAUAGAUUAUUGGGCUGCUUUAGAGAAAUGUCCAGAAAAGUGCCUUUGCUAAUGAUAAAGUACCCUAAUGAUAUACUUUUAGCAGCUUUGAUGAGAUAUAAUUCAUAUACCAUGUAAUUUACCCAUUUAAAAUGUACAAUUCAAAAAUUUUAGUAUAUUUUCAGUACUCCAUAACAGUCAGCACAAUCUUCUUUUAGAACAUCUUAUCUCCCCCUAAAAGUAACCUGAUACCCAUUAGCAGUCACUAGUCACUCUCAGUCUGUCUCCCCUCUCCUGUCCCCAUCUCUUGACAACCACUGAUUUGUUACCUCCAAAUUUGCCUAUCCAGGCUGUUCUAGUCAGUUUUUGUUGUUGUUGUUGUUGUUGUUGUUGCUGCUGCUGUUGUUGUGAUCAAAAGACCUGACAAAACACAACUUGGAAGAGGAAAAGUUUAUUUUGGCUCAUGGUUUCAAUGGUUCAGUCCACAGUUGACCAACUCCAUAACUUUGGACCUGAGAUGAGGCAGAACAUCAUGACAGAAGAAAGCAGAUCAGAACAUGGCAACCAGGAAGCAGAGAGAGAGAGAGAACUACACUCAGUGACAAAAUAUAAACCCAAAGGUACCUUCUCAGUGACCUACUUCCUCGAGCCACACUCUACUGGUCUAAAGUUACCACCCAGUUAACCUAUAUUAACUGUCUUCUUCCACUUAGUAUAAUAUUUACAAGUUUUAACCAUAUUGUAGCAUAUAUUCAUACUUCAUUCCUUUUUAUUUACAAAUUAUAUCCCAUUGCUUAGAUAUACCACGUUUUAUUUAUACACUCAUAGGGUAAGAGACAUCUGGGUUGCUUCCACUUUGGAGUUAUUAUGAAUAAUGCUGUGAACAUUCAUUGAAGAGUUUUUGUGUGAAUAUGUCUAUUCAGUUCUUUGGGGUACAUACCUAGGAGUAUAACAGCUGGGUUCUAUGAUAACUCUUAUGUUUAACAUUUUGAAUAAUUGCCAAACUGUUUCCCAAAGUGAUUCUGCCAUUUUAUACUCACCAAUUUAUAAGAAAAUAAACUUCCCUAUAGCUUUGUCAAUAAUGUUAUUGUCUGUCUUUUUAUUAUAAGCAUCCUAAUGGAUAUGAAGUUGUAUCUCAUUGUGUUUUAAUUUGUAUUUCCCCAAAAACUAAUGAUACUGAAUAUUAUUCAUGUCUGAUUAGCUAAUUGCAUAGCUUCUUAGGAGAAAUAUCUAAACUUCACUCAUUUUAAAAUUCAUUUAUCACUGUAUUAGAAGAGAUCUUCAUACAUUCUGAAUACUAGUCCUUUACCAGAUAUAUGGUUUGUUAAUAUUGUCUUCAUUGGAAAAGAGAUCUUUUCACUUCCUGAAUAUUAUCAUUGGCACAAUAAUGCUUGGAUUUUGAUGAAGUUCAAUUUAUUGGCCUUUCUUUUGUUAUCUGUGCUUUCAGUAUUGUAUCUAGGAAGAUUUUGCAUAACCCAAGGUUAUGAAGAUGACUCCUAAGUCUUUAAAAAGUUUUUAUCCCUUACAUUUGGGUCUUUAAUCUAUUUUGAGUUAGAUUUUUUAUGGUGUCUGAUGGGGGUCCACAUUGUAUUGUUUUAUCAAUUUAAUAUAGUCAAAAUAAAAUAUGUUCAUUUAAAAAUCAUAAAAUAUACAAAUAAAUAGAAAUGAAACAUACCCAUGAUUCUAUUUCUUCCAAACUAUUUCUGACUCAUUGGUUUAUAUGCUUCCAAAUCCUGUUCUCUCUGUAUUUCAGUUUAUGUAUGCAUGCACAUACAUAUAGACAUUUUAUGAAAUAAUGAAAUUAUUUCUGUAUGCAGCUU